Molecule: unclassified non-coding RNA, 161 nt
Filed under: uncultured Sordariomycetes
Lineage: Eukaryota; Fungi; Ascomycota; Sordariomycetes
Description: sequence contains ITS1
Source: RNAcentral
CAAGAGUUGAAAAACUCCCUAAACCCACUGUGAACCUACCUGUAUCUGUUGCUUCGGCGGGCUGCCCCAGGGCGGGGUUCUAGGCCUUAUAGGUGCCCGCCGACGGCUCCCUACAAACUCUUUUGUCAUUUGGGUACUCUGAGUGAAGAUCAAAUGAGUCA